UAGAAAUGCUGCUCUUAUCUGGUCCUGGUAUAUGUAAAGCCUGAAUGUGGCUCAUUGUGUUCUCUAUCAGGACGCAUAUCAGAAGCUUGGCUGUGGAUUCAAUAUUAGCUAAUUAAUGAAAGCAAGGGAUAUGUCCCCACACUGUAGGGUGUUUCUGUACAGCUCCCAGCAUCCCAGUCAUUUCUUGAGCUCUUGACUAUCCCAGAUUUGUGUUUGCCUGGACGUUUGCAGGUUGGGCUGUCAGUCUGGAUCCCAUGCUGCCAGCUCACUAUGAGUCACACUGACCCAAGCAUCCAUUUGUCCGAUUACUGUUUUUCUUUACUACCAUCAGAUCAGCAGUUUCAUUUCUGAAAAAGAACCUCCCCAACCAUUUUGAAAACCCACUUUGGAAAGCAGAAAUCAAAACAUGUGUGCAGUGCCCAGAUUUGUUCUUCCCAUUGCUGCUGUGCUGCAGACCACUCGCAAUCCAGUGCCAAGGAGGAGAGGCAAACAUCCCAUACACUGCAACACAUGGCUCAGCUCACGUGGCUGGGGCAUAGACCAUACAAGUAGCCCAUGGAUGUCCAGCCUUUUGGCUUGCCUGAGCCACAGUUGCAGAAGUGCCCUCUGCCCAAUUGCAAAGCCCGUGAGAGCUGCAGGAUCUGAGUGUGGAUGAGUCAUGCAGACAGCACAAGUGCAACCAAUGGAGCCAGAUCAGACCGCUGACAAGAGAAGGUGCCUGAGGAGUGCAAUGGAACGGGGGUAAGAGUUACUGUUGUUCCUACACCAGCGCCAGAAGGGUGAAAAAUAAGGUAGUGAAAAAUCAGAUGUAUGGUAUCAAAAACCACUAUGAUGUCAAAAAGCACCAUGGUAUCAAAAAGCACCAUGAUGUAGCUGACUUCCAUAACCUGAUAGAAAGAGGAGUCAGUGGGUGCAGCAUUGUCAAAGAGGGGUUGAAAGGGAAAGCAGAGCAGAGGUACAGAUGGAGGUGACAAUGUGUGCAAGAUAUUGUUUGAUGUGUAACAGCGUCGAAUAUGAUGGAGAAAGGGACAUUUUGGGAGUCAUUUUGGCUGGAAAUCUCAGAUUUUAUUACUAAAAAUGUAGCAGUAAAUGAUACUUGGAAGUGUGGCUGCCCCUGAUCAGCACUGUGAUAAUGAUCAGGAGAUGGCUGGUGAGAUGAGAGGAGCUGCAUGUUUAGCACAGGUAGUAACACAGGGUGAUUUCCACUCCUUGUAGAAACUGAGCCAGAGAUGGGAUGCACAGACAGCUACUGUGCACAACAAAUGGUGCUUAUAGCCCUCAGAGGAUGCCAUUUUGGCCCUUAACUAUGAAUGGAACCUUUUCUACAGGUCAUUAGUGGGAGAGAUGCUCUGCAAUAUAACCACAGCACAAUUAAUUUUAGGCUGUAUAAACCCAGCAUGUGGCUAUUCAAUUUUACAAAAGAGAGGUAUGUAAAAAUAGUGGAAAUUGUCAAAAUAAACCUGGAAGUGUUAACA
Molecule: long non-coding RNA, 1475 nt
Filed under: Coturnix japonica (Japanese quail)
Lineage: Eukaryota; Metazoa; Chordata; Aves; Galliformes; Phasianidae
Description: lncRNA (ENSCJPG00005014824.1)
Source: RNAcentral